CCUACGGGAGGCAGCAGUGAGGAAUAUUGGUCAAUGGGCGCGAGCCUGAACCAGCCAAGUAGCGUGAAGGAUGACUGCCCUACGGGUUGUAAACUUCUUUUAUAAAGGAAUAAAGUGAGGCACGUGUGCCUUUUUGUAUGUACCUUAUGAAUAAGGCUCGGCUAACUCCGUGCCAGCAGCCGCGGUAAUACGGAGGAUCCGAGCGUUAUCCGGAUUUAUUGGGUUUAAAGGGUGCGUAGAUGGGUUGUUAAGUCAGUUGUGAAAGUUUGGGGCUCAACCGUAGAAUUGCAGUUGAUACUGGCAGCCUUGAGUACAGUAGAGGUAGGCGGAAUUCGUGGUGUAGCGGUGAAAUGCAUAGAUAUCACGAAGAACUCCGAUUGCGAAGGCAGCCUACUAAACUGCAACUGACAUUGAUGCUCGAAAGUGUGGGUAUCAAACAGGAUUAGAUACCCCUGUAGUC
This 460-nucleotide ribosomal RNA is filed under the name uncultured bacterium. RNAcentral's name for it is "partial 16S ribosomal RNA". It matches the Rfam family "Bacterial small subunit ribosomal RNA", at positions 338 to 795 of the family's 1533-position model. The record is from RNAcentral.